RNAcentral lists this ribosomal RNA (738 nucleotides) under Triticum aestivum (bread wheat). RNAcentral's name for it is "partial small subunit ribosomal RNA". Lineage: Eukaryota; Viridiplantae; Streptophyta; Magnoliopsida; Poales; Poaceae. The record is from RNAcentral.
AUGGAAACCCGUGAAGCCGGCUACGUAGGCGGCGGCGGAAGCAAGCUCCGGGACGUUGCCGACGACGUGGUCAAACCGUGUCAGGCCGUAGUCCACGGCACCCGGGUUGCUCACGCCCUCGAACCCCGGCAAGAAGGGCACGUCCGUGCCGUCCGGAUGGCUGACGAAGCGGAGCACGACGUCGCCGUAGAGCUCGACCUCCGCAAAGCCGAAGCCGCGGCCGAGGUCCACGGGGCUGAAGGCCGGGCGCGCGCCCCCGUCGACGCUGGCGCGGAAGGCCUCGGCGGCGUCCGCGACGCGCAGCGCUAUGGAGCGCACCGCGAGCCCGUGGUCCGCGGAGAACCGGCGCGCGGCGUCGGCGGAGAAGGAGGGCAGGGAGGCGGUGGCGGCGUCGCAGCCGUUGGCGUAGGGCGCGGUGAAGAGGAAGGCGAGGUUGCCCGAGCGGAGCAGCUGGGAGGCGUGCACGGAGUUCCCCGUGGAGAGGUCGGACCUGGCGGCGAGCGGCGCGCCGAGCGCGAAGGCGAAGCGGCCGGCGGCGGAGGCGGCGUCCGCGCACCAGAACUCGACGUGGUGGAAGGAGAGCGUGUGGAAGCGGUCGCUGCGCGGGUUGAAGCGGACCAUUCGGCGCGGCCGCGCGUGCUCCGGCGUCACCGCGGCGGCAGCGCCGGCGCCGGUGGCUGCGGGGGUGGUGGGGGUGGGCGGCAUGGUGUGUGUUCGCUUCUUGGUCGCGUGUGGUAG